AUUCCAGCUCCAAUAGCGUAUAUUUAAGUUGUUGCAGUUAAAAAGCUCGUAGUUGGAUCUUGGGAGGGGGUCGGCGGUCCGCCUCUUUUGGUGUGCACUGGCGGCCCCUUUCUUUUUGGCCGGGGACGCGCGUCUGGCCUUGACUGGUCGGGCCGCGGAGUCGGCGAUGUUACUUUGAAAAAAUUAGAGUGCUCAAAGCAAGCCAUACGCUCUGAAUACAUUAGCAUGGAAUAACGCGACAGGACUCUGGUCUUAUUGCGUUGGUCUUCGGGACCGGAGUAAUGAUUAAUAGGGACAGUUGGGGGCAUUUGUAUUUCAUGGUCAGAGGUGAAAUUCUUGGAUUCAUGAAAGACAAACUUCUGCGAAAGCAUUUGCCAAGGAUGUUUUCAUUA
This 392-nucleotide ribosomal RNA is filed under the name Embryophyta sp. RNAcentral describes it as "partial small subunit ribosomal RNA". It matches the Rfam family "Eukaryotic small subunit ribosomal RNA", at positions 582 to 975 of the family's 1831-position model. The record is from RNAcentral. Lineage: Eukaryota; Viridiplantae; Streptophyta.